UACGGAGGGUGCAAGCGUUGUCCGGAUUCAUUGGGCGUAAAGGGUGCGUAGGCGGCUUCCUAAGUUUGAUGUGAAAUCCUGGGGCUCAACCCUGGAACUGCAUUGAAUACUGGGAGGCUAGAGUACUGGAGAGGAAACUGGAAUUUACGGUGUAGCAGUGAAAUGCGUAGAGAUCGUAAGGAAGACCAGUGGCGAAGGCGAGUUUCUGGACAGUUACUGACGCUGAGGCACGAAGGCCAGGGGAGCAAACGGG
This 253-nucleotide ribosomal RNA is filed under the name uncultured bacterium. RNAcentral describes it as "partial 16S ribosomal RNA". It matches the Rfam family "Bacterial small subunit ribosomal RNA", at positions 524 to 776 of the family's 1533-position model. The record is from RNAcentral.